ACCUUAAUUAUUUAUAUCAAAAGGACAUGUUUUUGAUAAACAGGUGAAUAUUUAAUUUUGCCGAAUUACUUAAAUUAAUUUUUAAAUUUUUAUUAAAUAUAAAUAUUUAUAUACUAAUUUUAUCAUUAUUAUUCUAUUUUUUUUAUUUUAAUAAAUAUUUUAAUAAAUAAUUAAUAUUUAUAAUAUAAAAUUAUAUCUAAACUAAAUUUAUUUUUAACAAAUUAAAUAAAAUUAAUAAUAUUAAUUAUAUUAAAUUUAAAUUAUUUAUUAUUUUAUUUAAUAAUUUAUUUUAAAGCUUAUCCCUUAAAAUAUUUAUAAUGUAUUUUAAAUUAUAAAUUAAAUUAUAAAUUAAUAAAUAAUUAUAUAAAUUAAAUUUAUUUCUUAAAAAACUAGAUAUAUUUAAAAACGUUUAACAUUUCAUUUCCAAUUAAUUAUUUUUAAUAAUUAUGCCACAUUAACUAAAUUAAUUAAUUAACUCUUUUAAAUUCGAGAAUAUUAUUUUAUUUAAUAUUUAUUUAAUAAACUCUGAUACCCAAGA
Molecule: ribosomal RNA, 538 nt
Filed under: Wiseana umbraculata
Lineage: Eukaryota; Metazoa; Arthropoda; Insecta; Lepidoptera; Hepialidae
Description: partial 16S ribosomal RNA
Source: RNAcentral